GCUGGAUUCGCUAGUAAUCGCGCAUCAGCCACGGCGCGGUGAAUACGUUCCCGGGCCUUGUACACACCGCCCGUCAAGCCAUGGGAGCCGGGAGUGCCUGAAGUACGUGACCGCAAGGAGCGUCCUAGGGUAAGACCGGUGACUGGGGCUAAGUCGUAACAAGGUAAC
Molecule: ribosomal RNA, 168 nt
Filed under: uncultured bacterium
Lineage: Bacteria
Description: partial 16S ribosomal RNA
Rfam family: Bacterial small subunit ribosomal RNA
Source: RNAcentral